GUGCUCACUUCGGCAGCACAUAUACUAAAAUUGUAAUGAUACAGAGAAGAUUAGCACGGCCCCUGUGCAAGGAGGAGGGAAUUUCAAGUCCCAGGACAUACAUUA
Rattus norvegicus (Norway rat) is the source of this 105-nucleotide small nuclear RNA. The record is from Ensembl. Lineage: Eukaryota; Metazoa; Chordata; Mammalia; Rodentia; Muridae.